GUGUUCAUCCCUACAGGAUCAGAGAUGAUGAGACGAUCAGAGCCACGAUCCAGAAGAACUGAACUCCCAUCCCCCGAGUCCUGCGGCAGGAAGCGCUCCUUCUCUCCAAGAACUCCUGGACCCUGCAAGCUGGUCCAGAACCAGAGUCCCAGUGAGGAGUCCAGCCAGUCGACCUCUCAGAGUUAAACUAAACUACAACAUUAUUAAAGAUCAUGUUUAAAGUUAAAAAAGGAUGCUUUCAGACUGAAUCCAGAAGUUUCUCAAGCUGCAGUCAAAGCAGAUCAUUUGUGAAUAUAUAUAUAUAAAAAUAAAAAAAAACUAUAAUAAGAAUUACUUACUACUUACUUACUACAAAUAUUUGAAAUGUUUCUGACUCUCUAUCUGAGUGCUUUUCUCAUGAAUUAACGACUUAAAUCUUGUUUUGUUUUCUUGUUUAUUUCAUAAUCCUAUAGGAUAUUUGAUUUUUCUUUCAUGUAACUUUAAGACUAAAUAUUAUUUUCUCAGCUCUGUAAUAAAAAAACAAUAAAGCUUAAAUAUGCUAAAAACUGUGUUAAAACUCUGAUAGUUCUCAUAGUCAUGUAUCGUAUAGUUUAAUGCUUUAGCAAUAUAAACAGGAUGUAUAACAGAAAUCCUGACAUGGGUGCUCAUAAAGACCCAUGUUGCAAAGUUCGCACUUCCCCUUUGGAGGAGAACAUCUGUUAUGUAUUUCCUCGCUGGAAGUGAACAGUUAACCACAGCAACGAAGAAGGACACCUCUAAACGCACCAGCUUGCACGCAAAGCAUGUGACAAACCACGUGUCAGACCAUGUGACAAGCCGCGGGAAAGAAGAGGAUAAAAGAAGACUGAAGAACAUAGGAGAGCAGUUCCUCUUUGAACCCAGUUCGAACUUGAACUUUCCUGCUUCAGCAAGCUACGGAAGACGAUCGUAUACUUACUCGUAUUUAGGCAAAGAUCUCGGAUGUAAUAUGUAUCUGUGCAAAACGCAUUUAAUUUUUUAUUGAUGUGUGGUGUUAUAACUUGUUAAACUUUAAUAAAACUACCUGUUCACAUUUGUGAGAGGAAACUAAA
Molecule: long non-coding RNA, 1070 nt
Organism: Trematomus bernacchii (emerald rockcod)
Lineage: Eukaryota; Metazoa; Chordata; Actinopteri; Perciformes; Nototheniidae
Exons: 2
Source: RefSeq, a predicted model, not a curated record